AAAAUUUCAGGGAAGUAACACCGCCAAAAGCAGAGAGAGGAUAACAAACAGUCAUGAAGUAAUGAUACCUUAGAUUUCCAAACAGGAAUUACAUUAUGAACUAAUAUUAGGAAAAGAAAAAAAAAACGAUGGCACCUUGAACAAAUAACAGAUGUCCUGUUGCAGUCGAAUAAGAACAGAUACAGGUUCAAGUUAAAGUCUCUUUCAGGAGUAGCAAUUGAUUUAAGGAUAUCAACUCUAGCAUUUCUUUCCAUGCAAAAAAUUCUAUCUUUCCAACAUCUUUGCUUUGCGGGCUACUAAUGCAUUUAAGAAUGAGCAGUCUUUUGAGGAGUGUGCUUUCUUCCAUGCAUCUGAAAUCUUUAAAACAGCUGGAUCAUUGAUUCCCUGGACUUCCCUACUCCAAUCCAUUUAACAGGAACACCUAAUUCCAUUUCUAUAAAACGAACAUAGUUCUGUGCAUUUACAGGCAACUCAUCGAAUGUCCUUGCAUUUGAUAUGUCUGUAUCCCAUCCUGGGAGUGUCUCAUACUUUACCUCUACUUUACUUAAGACUUCGUGGUUGGCUGGAAAAUGAGGUAUGACUUCACCAUCCAGUUUAUAUGCAACACCAACUUUGAUUUCUGGAAAUACAUCCAAGAUAUCCAACUUGGUAAGAGCCAAUGCAGUAAACCCAUUAAUCAUGUAGGCAUAUCGGAGUUGCACGAGGUCCAGCCAGCCGCAUCUUCUCUUCCUACCAGUGGUAACACCAAACUCUUUACCCCGCAUUUGCAGCAAUUCUCCAAUUUCAUUAUCUUGUUCUGUAGGAAAGGCACCAAUUCCAACUCUAGUUGUAUAUGCUUUCACAACUCCAUACACUUCUCCA
RNAcentral lists this long non-coding RNA (861 nucleotides) under Gallus gallus (chicken). Lineage: Eukaryota; Metazoa; Chordata; Aves; Galliformes; Phasianidae. The record is from RNAcentral.